Molecule: ribosomal RNA, 649 nt
Filed under: uncultured bacterium
Lineage: Bacteria
Description: bacterial SSU rRNA
Rfam family: Bacterial small subunit ribosomal RNA
Source: RNAcentral
ACGGGUGAGUAACGCGUAUCCAACCUUCCCGCAACUGGGGAAUAACCUUGCGAAAGUAAGACUAAUACCCCAUGGUCUCCACGGAUGGCAUCUGAAGUGGAGUAAAGGUUUCGGCCGGUUGCGGAUGGGGAUGCGUCCGAUUAGCUUGACGGCGGGGUAACGGCCCACCGUGGCAUCGAUCGGUAGGGGUUCUGAGAGGAAGGUCCCCCACAUUGGAACUGAGACACGGUCCAAACCCCUACGGGAGGCAGCAGUGAGGAAUAUUGGUCAAUGGGCGGAAGCCUGAACCAGCCAAGUAGCGUGAAGGACGACUGCCCUAUGGGUUGUAAACUUCUUUUAUGCGGGGAUAAAGUUCGCCACGUGUGGCGUUUUGCAGGUACCGCAUGAAUAAGGACCGGCUAAUUCCGUGCCAGCAACCGCGGUAAUACGGAAGGUCCAGGCGUUAUCCGGAUUCAUUGGGUUUAAAGGGAGCGUAGGCCGCCUUUUAAGCGUGUUGUGAAAUGUAGGGGCUCAACCCCUGCACUGCAGCGCGAACUGGAGGGCUUGAGUACACACAAAGUAGGCGGAAUCCAUGGUGUAGCGGUGAAAUGCUUAGAUAUCAUGAAGAACCCCGAUUGCGAAGGCAGCUUACUGGAGUGUAACUGACGCU